UAAAUGACUCUCGGCAACGGAUAUCUCGGCUCUUGCAUCGAUGAAGAACGUAGCGAAAUGCGAUACUUGGUGUGAAUUGCAGAAUCCCGUGAACCAUCGAGUCUUUGAACGCAAGUUGCGCCUGAAGCCAUUAGGCUGAAGGCACGUCUGCCUGGGCGUAACGG
RNAcentral lists this ribosomal RNA (164 nucleotides) under Chimaphila menziesii. Its description in RNAcentral is "5.8S ribosomal RNA". It matches the Rfam family "5.8S ribosomal RNA". From Rfam's summary of the family: 5.8S ribosomal RNA (5.8S rRNA) is a component of the large subunit of the eukaryotic ribosome. Lineage: Eukaryota; Viridiplantae; Streptophyta; Magnoliopsida; Ericales; Ericaceae. The record is from RNAcentral.